UACGAAGGGGGCUAGCGUUGCUCGGAAUGACUGGGCGUAAAGGGCGCGUAGGCGGAUGGCACAGUCAGAUGUGAAAUUCCCGGGCUUAACCUGGGGGCUGCAUUUGAUACGUGUUGUCUAGAGUGAGGAAGAGGGUUGUGGAAUUCCCGAGUGUAGAGGUGAAAUUCGUAGAUAUUGGGAAGAACACCGGUGGCGAAGGCGGCAACCUGGUCCUUGACUGACGCUGAGGCGCGAAAGCGUGGGGAGCAAACAGG
This 254-nucleotide ribosomal RNA is filed under the name uncultured bacterium. RNAcentral's name for it is "partial 16S ribosomal RNA". It matches the Rfam family "Bacterial small subunit ribosomal RNA", at positions 524 to 776 of the family's 1533-position model. The record is from RNAcentral.